Molecule: unclassified non-coding RNA, 785 nt
Filed under: Leishmania donovani
Lineage: Eukaryota; Euglenozoa; Kinetoplastea; Trypanosomatida; Trypanosomatidae
Description: gene:unknown
Source: RNAcentral
UCGCGGACAUCCUUUCCCCUUUCCCGCUUGCCACCAGCGCCACCUCUUCUGGGCAUAGCUUCCGUGCACUCGUCUCCUCCCCUCCGCAUGCACUGCGCUCGUGUCUGGAAAUGUGACGAGGGUCGUAUCUCCUCUCGAUGCAUCGCUUGUUGCUCGCAGCUUACUGACCCGACUCUAGUCGCCUCCACUGGAGCGAGUGCAAGCGGCCGCUGACGGAGCACUCCGGCGCGGUGUCCUUCAUGGUGGAGUCAGUCAACGGUCGCAUGCUGCCUUUGUGCCCGUGGCGCGACAACUCAGUGGCGGAACUGUAGGCAGUGGUGCGCGGCAUGGUGGAGCUGGCAGGCAUGAAGCUGGGCAUCGUCGUCGGCAAUAGGCUCGUGCGAGAUUUAGUUCAUGGGCAGCACCGACCAGUACCUAAAGAACACCCUAAACCACCCGAGACUUCAUGGCCAGCCUCUUCCGAGCUGCACUGCCUGUCGUGCAGGCUUGUCACCGCGAAGACGAGGCGCUGGCAGCCUUUCCUCCUGUGAAGCUAACGCGCACCGCAGCGCCACGGACAAGCCGCGGUCCAAAGAAGAACAAUAACCACCUCUGCCGUGCGUUUGUUUGACAUCCCAAUCUCUUCGCUGGUCGGUUUGAUUUCUCUUCGUUUAUGUGAGCCCCUUCAUGUGUCCGUGCACUGUCUCUGUGUGUACGUCUCUAGCUCUCUCUCGCCCUGCCCCUCUUUCCCUGUGUACAUGUUAAUGCGUCGCACUACGCCGGUUUUUUCGGGUAGGAAGGAGUUG